This 292-nucleotide ribosomal RNA is filed under the name uncultured bacterium. RNAcentral's name for it is "partial 16S ribosomal RNA". It matches the Rfam family "Bacterial small subunit ribosomal RNA", at positions 505 to 796 of the family's 1533-position model. The record is from RNAcentral.
GUGUCAGCAGCCGCGGUAAUACGUAGGGGGCAAGCGUUGUCCGGAUUUAUUGGGCGUAAAGCGCUCGCAGGUGGUUCAUUGCGUCGUGCGUGAAAGACCCCGGCUCAACUGGGGAGGGUCGUGCGAAACGGGUGAACUAGAGGCCAGUAGGGGGAUGCGGAAUUCCGGGUGUAGUGGUGGAAUGCGUAGAGAUCCGGAGGAACACCAGCGGCGAAGGCGGCAUCCUGGACUGGUCCUGACACUCAGGAGCGAAAGCGUGGGGAGCGAUCCGGAUUAGAUACCCUAGUAGUCC